UGCGGCAACCUCGUCCCCGCUGAGUUAUUCUGACUACCUGGCGGCGAUGCGAACGAAAGGUCCUUCUUCGUGUUCGCCUUGUUCGCCGCUGUUCACUUUCACCGUACGACGCCUUCCCUUCCACACUGCCUGAGACGUUUUGAG
Caenorhabditis elegans is the source of this 144-nucleotide non-coding RNA. NCBI's taxonomy places the organism in Eukaryota, Metazoa, Nematoda, Chromadorea, Rhabditida, Rhabditidae. The record is from Ensembl.